GAACCGUACGAACGUUAUUCGGAAUCACUGGGCUUAAAGAGUCCGUAGGCGGCUAUGUAGGUGAGGUGUGAAAUCCCACGGCUCAACCGUGGAACUGCGCUUCAAACCAUGUGGCUCGAGGGAGAUAGAGGAAAGCGGAACUGAUGGUGGAGCGGUGAAAUGCGUUGAUAUCAUCAGGAACACCGGUGGCGAAAGCGGCUUUCUGGGUCUCUUCUGACGCUGAGGGACGAAAGCUAGGGGGAGCGAACGGGAUUAGAUACCCCGGUAGUCCUAGCUGUAAACGAUGAGCACUAGCUUGAGGGGACCCCUCACAUCCCCUUGGGCGUAGCGAAAGUGUUAAGUGCUCCGCCUGGGAGUAUGGUCGCAAGGCUA
RNAcentral lists this ribosomal RNA (372 nucleotides) under uncultured organism. Its description in RNAcentral is "partial 16S ribosomal RNA". It matches the Rfam family "Bacterial small subunit ribosomal RNA", at positions 527 to 896 of the family's 1533-position model. The record is from RNAcentral.